UGGAAGAUUUCUCUCUGAUGUUGGAAGUCA
Molecule: non-coding RNA, 30 nt
Filed under: Mus musculus (house mouse)
Lineage: Eukaryota; Metazoa; Chordata; Mammalia; Rodentia; Muridae
Source: RNAcentral